RNAcentral lists this ribosomal RNA (522 nucleotides) under uncultured bacterium. Its description in RNAcentral is "bacterial SSU rRNA". It matches the Rfam family "Bacterial small subunit ribosomal RNA", at positions 791 to 1314 of the family's 1533-position model. The record is from RNAcentral.
UAGUCUUAGCCGUAAACGAUGGACACUAGUUGUUGGAGGAAUUUCUUCUUUCAGUGACGUAGCUAACGCGUUAAGUGUCCCACCUGGGGAGUACGCCCGCAAGGGUGAAACUCAAAGGAAUUGACGGGGGCCCGCACAAGCGGUGGAGCAUGUGGUUUAAUUCGAUGAUACGCGAGGAACCUUACCUAGGCUCUAAUGCGCGCGCCACCUGGUGAAAACCGGGGUUCCUUCGGGACGCAAAGCAAGGUGCUGCAUGGUUGUCGUCAGCUCGUGCCGUGAGGUGUUGGGUUAAGUCCCAUAACGAGCGCAACCCCUAUCGUUAGUUGCUAGCAGGUAAAGCUGAGGACUCUGGCGAGACCGCCACCGUAAGGUGAGAGGAAGGUGGGGAUGACGUCAAAUCAGCACGGCCCUUACGUCCAGGGCUACACACGUGUUACAAUGGCCGAUACAAAGGGCAGCUACCAGGUGACUGGAUGCUAAUCUCGAAAGUCGGUCUCAGUUCGGAUCGGAGUCUGCAACUCG